Molecule: ribosomal RNA, 253 nt
Filed under: uncultured bacterium
Lineage: Bacteria
Description: partial 16S ribosomal RNA
Rfam family: Bacterial small subunit ribosomal RNA
Source: RNAcentral
UACAUAGGUCUCAAGCGUUGUUCGGAUUCAUUGGGCGUAAAGGGUGCGUAGGCGGCGCGGUAAGUCGGGUGUGAAAUUUCGAGGCUUAACUUCGAAACUGCAUUCGAUACUGCCGUGCUAGAGGACUGGAGAGGAGACUGGAAUUUACGGUGUAGCGGUGAAAUGCGUAGAUAUCGUAAGGAAGACCAGUGGCGAAGGCGGGUCUCUGGACAGUUCCUGACACUGAGGCACGAAGGCCAGGGGAGCAAACGGG